GCGGCCGUGACCCUGCUGGAGUGCGGGGGGCACCUCCAGCCCCCCGGAGGGUCCCUGACGUUGCUGUGCCGCACAUCUGAGUUCAAUUUUGGGAGUUUUGACAUGUUUUGGAUCCGUCAGAGACCCGGGCAGGCGCUGGAAUGGGUCGCAGGGAUCAACACUGGUGGAGGCACCACCUACUACGCGCCAUCGGUCAAGGGCCGGUUCAGGAUCUCCAGGAACAACGGGAAGAGCUCGGUGACGCUGACCAUGAACAACCUCAAGGAUGAGGAUUCCGGAUCCUAUUUCUGUGCCAAAUUUUCUGGUGCCGCCCCAAAACCCUACCAGAGUUUUCCAUAUCUCAACAUGCCUGAAAACUGCAAUUAA
Non-coding RNA from Melozone crissalis (California towhee), 366 nucleotides. The record is from the annotation of a RefSeq genome assembly. NCBI's taxonomy places the organism in Eukaryota, Metazoa, Chordata, Aves, Passeriformes, Passerellidae.